Molecule: long non-coding RNA, 250 nt
Filed under: Mytilus galloprovincialis (Mediterranean mussel)
Lineage: Eukaryota; Metazoa; Mollusca; Bivalvia; Mytilida; Mytilidae
Source: RNAcentral
GUUGUUUUGUUCGAGCACUUGUUGACUUUUUUUUCUUUCGAUAUAUGAAGUCUUGAAUAGCAACACUUAUAUAUGGUUACAUUACAGGACUAUACCACAUUUUAUCCGUGUAUUUUUUAAUGCGUAGAACAUGCAUGAAUUAAAAAAUAUAACUGAUUGAUUUUGUAGAUGAAAUGGGCAAAUUUUGUAAGAAUUAUCCUCAUCCUGAUAUUCAUAAUGUCCUUCGCUUUGGCACAGGGAUGGAGACGUA